Molecule: ribosomal RNA, 465 nt
Filed under: uncultured Klebsiella sp.
Lineage: Bacteria; Pseudomonadati; Pseudomonadota; Gammaproteobacteria; Enterobacterales; Enterobacteriaceae
Description: bacterial SSU rRNA
Rfam family: Bacterial small subunit ribosomal RNA
Source: RNAcentral
CCUACGGGUGGCUGCAGUGGGGAAUAUUGCACAAUGGGCGCAAGCCUGAUGCAGCCAUGCCGCGUGUGUGAAGAAGGCCUUCGGGUUGUAAAGCACUUUCAGCGGGGAGGAAGGCGGUGAGGUUAAUAACCUCAUCGAUUGACGUUACCCGCAGAAGAAGCACCGGCUAACUCCGUGCCAGCAGCCGCGGUAAUACGGAGGGUGCAAGCGUUAAUCGGAAUUACUGGGCGUAAAGCGCACGCAGGCGGUCUGUCAAGUCGGAUGUGAAAUCCCCGGGCUCAACCUGGGAACUGCAUUCGAAACUGGCAGGCUAGAGUCUUGUAGAGGGGGGUAGAAUUCCAGGUGUAGCGGUGAAAUGCGUAGAGAUCGGGAGGAAUACCGGUGGCGAAGGCGGCCCCCUGGACAAAGACUGACGCUCAGGUGCGAAAGCGUAGGGAGCAAACAGGAUUAGAUACCCCUGUAGUC